GUCGGUCGCGGGUGUCGGAAAGUUUCGGGAAAUUAUUGCCCGCGGUGGAGGGGGCGGGCGGGGGGGGGGGGGGGGGGGAAAUACGCUGGCGCGCGCGCGCUCAACACGCUAACCGCCGUUGACCGUUGCGCCGAAUCGUUAUCGACGGCGUUAUCGAUCGUCGUUGUCGGCGUUGACGCGCGCCCGCUCCCCUCGACCACUUCACGCACC
Cinara cedri is the source of this 210-nucleotide non-coding RNA. Lineage: Eukaryota; Metazoa; Arthropoda; Insecta; Hemiptera; Aphididae. The record is from the annotation of a GenBank genome assembly.